RNAcentral lists this transfer RNA (73 nucleotides) under Candidatus Bathyarchaeota archaeon. RNAcentral describes it as "tRNA-His". It matches the Rfam family "tRNA". Rfam says of the family: Transfer RNA (tRNA) molecules are approximately 80 nucleotides in length. Their secondary structure includes four short double-helical elements and three loops (D, anti-codon, and T loops). The record is from RNAcentral. RNAcentral also lists the same sequence under 1 other name. Lineage: Archaea; Thermoproteati; Candidatus Bathyarchaeota.
GCCGGGAUGAGGUAGUCUGGUAGCCUAUAGGUCUGUGGAGCCUAGCGCCUGGGUUCAAAUCCCGGUCCCGGCC